UGAAUUUGGAGGUUCGUUUGACAUACCGAUUGUAAACCUUGUGGUGAAAGAGUCUGUCAACGGCCACCACUACUGAUUUUUGCAUCUUGUUUGACACUACCAAUCCCACCACCGACUUCAUUUGUGACGGCCUGACGACGAUGCUAGGGUUUAGACCACGAGGAAACAAAAAUCAAAGCUAAAAAUGAAUAAGAGAGUAAAUCAAAAUGGUACCUGAUUACUAUGCUUUAACAGUGAUACUACAGUGACGGCAGAUGCUGACGGAGGUCGAUGGCGCACGACAAUAACUUGUGGUGAGGCGGCGGCAGGGGUUCAGGGGGCGGUUAGUGUCUGAGUUGAGUGAAAUUGGAUUUCGUUUAUUGUUGCUUUAAACUCCUCAUCGACUGUGUUUGUGACUGUUAUUCACAGUGAAUCGUCAGUAAUCAUGUGCGAAGUUUCACGUGAGUAAUCCGCAAAUAACUUAAUUAUUUUUCUCUAGGACACAAUUAACAAAAGCAAAGCACCAAAUUCUUUUUCUCUUAGACAGUUCAUCAAACACUUGGUGGGCAUACGUCCAUAAACACAUCCAUUCACAAUAUAAAGUAACAAAAUCUGAGUCAAGGCCUCAUGAUAACUUAAUCAAACAAAAUGCCACAUCUGAAAUUUCAUAAUUAAUUCAAAUUAAAGCAACAAAAUCUCAAAUAGCCCUCUUCAAACUCAUUCUCCAUCAUCUCAUAAGCUAAACUCAUUAAAUAACUACAACAGUCACACAAUAAUAAUUACAACAGCAAACAGUAAUAAAUCAACAAUACCAUCAAAAUGAUAAAAGUAAAAAAGAAAAAAAAAAAAAAAACUAAAACAGAUGAAAAUAGGUGAAAAACCGUGCCUAAGGUGAGAAACUUGAAGCUAAAAGGUUGGUCCUUGCUAAGAUAGCUUCAGCGAACGGACCUACCGCCGUAGCUCACCAACUAAAUGAAGCUCACUAUCAGAAGUUCAAAGAGAUUUUAAAUUUCAAGAUGAAAUAUGGUAAACAAAAAGAAUGUGUAAAUUAUAAUAAAAAUUUAUUGAAAUAUUGAUUUUAUUUUUA
Molecule: long non-coding RNA, 1066 nt
Filed under: Citrus maxima (pomelo)
Lineage: Eukaryota; Viridiplantae; Streptophyta; Magnoliopsida; Sapindales; Rutaceae
Description: long non-coding RNA (CMAX_LNC004037)
Source: RNAcentral